RNAcentral lists this ribosomal RNA (322 nucleotides) under uncultured eukaryote. Its description in RNAcentral is "partial 18S ribosomal RNA". It matches the Rfam family "Eukaryotic small subunit ribosomal RNA", at positions 1470 to 1796 of the family's 1831-position model. The record is from RNAcentral.
CCCUUAGAUGUUCUGGGCCGCACGCGUGCUACACUGAGUAAUUCAAUGGGUAAGGGAACGCUAGAGCAUUACCUAAUCUUGAAAUUUGCUCGUGAUGGGGAUCGACGGUUGCAAUUUUCCGUCGUGAACGAGGAAUACCUUGUAGGCGCAUGUCAUCAUCAUGCGCCGAAUACGUCCCUGCCCUUUGUACACACCGCCCGUCGCUCCUACCGAUUGAGUGAUCCAGUGAGGCUCUGGGACCUGGACGGAAAGAGCGUUUCGCUUGUUCUGUUUGGGAAACUUGGUCGAACCUUAUCAUUUAGAGGAAGGAGAAGUCGUAACA